This 323-nucleotide unclassified non-coding RNA is filed under the name uncultured Orbilia. Its description in RNAcentral is "sequence contains ITS1". The stretch from base 1 to 105 matches the Rfam family "5.8S ribosomal RNA", at positions 50 to 154 of the family's 154-position model. Lineage: Eukaryota; Fungi; Ascomycota; Orbiliomycetes; Orbiliales; Orbiliaceae. The record is from RNAcentral.
GAAACGCGAUAGUUAAUGUGAAUUGCAGAAUUCAGUGAAUCAUCGAGUCUUUGAACGCACAUUGCGCCCCUUGGUAUUCCGAAGGGCAUGUCUGUUUGAGCGUCAUUACAACACCUCGUUAACAAUUAGUUUUGUCACAACGGUCUUGGGCUUUGGCUGGUAAAACGGCCUGGCUUUAAAGUUGAACGCUCUGCGGGUCACACUGCCAAACUAUACAUAGUAAAUUUUAUUUUGUACGGUGAGAAGGUGUUGGCUUCGCCUGGAAAACAAACCCACUUUUAAGGUUUGACCUCAGAUCAGACAAGGAUACCCGCUGAACUUAA